UUUUAUAAGAAUAUGAUGUUGGUUCAGAUUAAGCGCUAAAUAAGGACAUGACACAUGCGAAUCAUACGUUUAUUAUUGAUAAGAUAAUAAAUAUGUGGUGUAAACGUGAGUAAUUUUAUUAGGAAUUAAUGAACUAUAGAAUAAGCUAAAUACUUAAUAUAUUAUUAUAUAAAAAUAAUUUAUAUAAUAAAAAGGAUAUAUAUAUAAUAUAUAUUUAUCUAUAGUCAAGCCAAUAAUGGUUUAGGUAGUAGGUUUAUUAAGAGUUAAACCUAGCCAACGAUCCAUAAUCGAUAAUGAAAGUUAGAACGAUCACGUUGACUCUGAAAUAUAGUCAAUAUCUAUAAGAUACAGCAGUGAGGAAUAUUGGACAAUGAUCGAAAGAUUGAUCCAGUUACUUAUUAGGAUGAUAUAUAAAAAUAUUUUAUUUUAUUUAUAAAUAUUAAAUAUUUAUAAUAAUAAUAAUAUAUAUAUAUAUAAAUUGAUUAAAAAUAAAAUCCAUAAAUAAUUAAAAUAAUGAUAUUAAUUACCAUAUAUAUUUUUAUAUGGAUAUAUAUAUUAAUAAUAAAAUUAAUUUAUUAUUAUUAAUAAUAUAUUUUAAUAGUCCUGACUAAUAUUUGUGCCAGCAGUCGCGGUAACACAAAGAGGGCGAGCGUUAAUCAUAAUGGUUUAAAGGAUCCGUAGAAUGAAUUAUAUAUUAUAAUUUAGAGUUAAUAAAAUAUAAUUAAAGAAUUAUAAUAGUAAAGAUGAAAUAAUAAUAAUAAUUAUAAGACUAAUAUAUGUGAAAAUAUUAAUUAAAUAUUAACUGACAUUGAGGGAUUAAAACUAGAGUAGCGAAACGGAUUCGAUACCCGUGUAGUUCUAGUAGUAAACUAUGAAUACAAUUAUUUAUAAUAUAUAUUAUAUAUAAAUAAUAAAUGAAAAUGAAAGUAUUCCACCUGAAGAGUACGUUAGCAAUAAUGAAACUCAAAACAAUAGACGGUUACAGACUUAAGCAGUGGAGCAUGUUAUUUAAUUCGAUAAUCCACGACUAACCUUACCAUAUUUUGAAUAUUAUAAUAAUUAUUAUAAUUAUUAUAUUACAGGCGUUACAUUGUUGUCUUUAGUUCGUGCUGCAAAGUUUUAGAUUAAGUUCAUAAACGAACAAAACUCCAUAUAUAUAAUUUUAAUUAUAUAUAAUUUUAUAUUAUUUAUUAAUAUAAAGAAAGGAAUUAAGACAAAUCAUAAUGAUCCUUAUAAUAUGGGUAAUAGACGUGCUAUAAUAAAAUGAUAAUAAAAUUAUAUAAAAUAUAUUUAAUUAUAUUUAAUUAAUAAUAUAAAACAUUUUAAUUUUUAAUAUAUUUUUUUAUUAUAUAUUAAUAUGAAUUAUAAUCUGAAAUUCGAUUAUAUGAAAAAAGAAUUGCUAGUAAUACGUAAAUUAGUAUGUUACGGUGAAUAUUCUAACUGUUUCGCACUAAUCACUCAUCACGCGUUGAAACAUAUUAUUAUCUUAUUAUUUAUAUAAUAUUUUUUAAUAAAUAUUAAUAAUUAUUAAUUUAUAUUUAUUUAUAUCAGAAAUAAUAUGAAUUAAUGCGAAGUUGAAAUACAGUUACCGUAGGGGAACCUGCGGUGGGCUUAUAAAUAUC
This 1622-nucleotide non-coding RNA is filed under the name Saccharomyces cerevisiae (brewer's yeast). Its description in RNAcentral is "small subunit ribosomal RNA". It matches the Rfam family "Bacterial small subunit ribosomal RNA". Lineage: Eukaryota; Fungi; Ascomycota; Saccharomycetes; Saccharomycetales; Saccharomycetaceae. The record is from RNAcentral.